AUAGUACUCCCUCCGUCCGGAAAUACUUGUCGCAAAAAUGAAUAAAAAUGGAUGUAUUUAGAACUAAAAUACGUCUAGAUACAUCCAUUUCUCCGACAAGUAUUACCGGACGGAGGGAGUAUAUA
This is a non-coding RNA of Triticum aestivum (bread wheat), 125 nucleotides long. The record is from Rfam. Lineage: Eukaryota; Viridiplantae; Streptophyta; Magnoliopsida; Poales; Poaceae.